CCAAAAGUGAUGAGGCCAACGAGGGAAUUUUCCGGGAGGAGGCCGAUGGCCUGGGACAAGGCGGACUUGAGAAAGGCCAUCUCCUCCUCGAUGAUACAAGUGUCGACCACGAACAUGAAUACCGACGAGGACGAACAUUUCUCUCCGGGAGUCUCGUACUCGAUGGUGGUGUACUGCGGGAAGAGCUCGGCAGGGAGGUUGUCGUCGCUGAUGG
RNAcentral lists this unclassified non-coding RNA (214 nucleotides) under Hevea brasiliensis (rubber tree). The record is from RNAcentral. Lineage: Eukaryota; Viridiplantae; Streptophyta; Magnoliopsida; Malpighiales; Euphorbiaceae.